This 252-nucleotide ribosomal RNA is filed under the name uncultured bacterium. RNAcentral's name for it is "partial 16S ribosomal RNA". It matches the Rfam family "Bacterial small subunit ribosomal RNA", at positions 524 to 776 of the family's 1533-position model. The record is from RNAcentral.
UACGUAGGUCCCGAGCGUUGUCCGGAUUUAUUGGGCGUAAAGCGAGCGCAGGUGGUUUAUUAAGUCUGGUGUAAAAGGCAGUGGCUCAACCAUUGUAUGCAUUAGAAACUGGUAGACUUGAGUGCAGGAGAGGAGAGUGGAAUUCCAUGUGUAGCGGUGAAAUGCGUAGAUAUAUGGAGGAACACCGGUGGCGAAAGCGGCUCUCUGGCCUGUAACUGACACUGAAGCUCGAAAGCGUGGGGAGCAAACAGG